RNAcentral lists this transfer RNA (76 nucleotides) under Citrobacter koseri. Its description in RNAcentral is "tRNA-Arg". It matches the Rfam family "tRNA". From Rfam's summary of the family: Transfer RNA (tRNA) molecules are approximately 80 nucleotides in length. Their secondary structure includes four short double-helical elements and three loops (D, anti-codon, and T loops). Further hydrogen bonds mediate the characteristic L-shaped molecular structure. tRNAs have two regions of fundamental functional importance: the anti-codon, which is responsible for specific mRNA codon recognition, and the 3' end, to which the tRNAs corresponding amino acid is attached (by aminoacyl-tRNA synthetases). tRNAs cope with the degeneracy of the genetic code in two manners: having more than one tRNA (with a specific anti-codon) for a particular amino acid; and 'wobble' base-pairing, i.e. permitting non-standard base-pairing at the 3rd anti-codon position. Lineage: Bacteria; Pseudomonadati; Pseudomonadota; Gammaproteobacteria; Enterobacterales; Enterobacteriaceae. The record is from RNAcentral.
GUGACAUUAGCUCAGUUGGAUAGCGCAACUCCUUCUAAGCAGCUGGUCGCAGGUUCGAAUCCUGCAUGUCACGCCA